GACGAACCGUGCGAACGUUGUUCGGAAUCACUGGGCUUAAAGGGCGCGUAGGCGGAUCAGCAAGUCCGGGGUGAAAUCCUCCGGCUUAACCGGAGAAGUGCCUUGGAUACUGCUGGUCUCGAGGGAGGUAGGGGUCAUUGGAACUUCUGGUGGAGCGGUGAAAUGCGUUGAUAUCAGAAGGAACGCCUGUGGCGAAAGCGAAUGACUGGAUCUCUUCUGACGCUGAGGCGCGAAAGCUAGGGGAGCGAACGGG
This 253-nucleotide ribosomal RNA is filed under the name uncultured bacterium. RNAcentral's name for it is "partial 16S ribosomal RNA". It matches the Rfam family "Bacterial small subunit ribosomal RNA", at positions 524 to 776 of the family's 1533-position model. The record is from RNAcentral.